Molecule: long non-coding RNA, 307 nt
Organism: Mytilus trossulus (common blue mussel)
Lineage: Eukaryota; Metazoa; Mollusca; Bivalvia; Mytilida; Mytilidae
Exons: 3
Source: RefSeq, a predicted model, not a curated record
AAAAAACACAGAGCUCGAUUGGACGAGUAGCUGUACAGCAUACUUGCAAUAAAAUUGGAUUACUCAUGGAUCUUGCUAUGGGACAAUCCUUACAUCAACAAAGUGCUAAAGGCUGUGGUGGCAAUUCAUCAGAUGCUGUAGUGAUCAAACACUGUCAGGCACCUUCGUUAUCCCAAUGGCGUAAAGGAUUCGAGGUUACCAGCAACUGUAGUCACAUUAACCAUUACACACCUGUAGCUGAAUGGGGCAGCCAAGGAUUCACUGACAACAUUGGAGUACUGACGCUUUGUCACAGUGGUGUAAUUGA